UCAUCCUGGAGGAGGGCAGGGAGAUGCUGGUAGGUUAUGUGGGUCAGACUGUCAGUGACCCCUAGGCCACCUUUGUCAAGAUGCUGCCAGACAAGUACUGCCGCUAUGCCCUCUAUGGCGCAACCUAUGAGACCAAGAAGAGCAAGAAGGAGGAUCUGGUGUUUAUCUUCUGGGCUCCUGAGUGUGCAUCCCUUAAGGGUAAAAUGAUUUAUGCCAACUCCAAGGACGCCAUCAAGAAGAAGCUGACAGGGAUCAAGCAUGAAUUACAAGCAAGCUGCUACGAGGAGGUCAAGGACCGUUGCACCCUGUCAGAGAAGCUGGGGGGCAGUGCCGUCAUCUUCCUGGGGGACAAGCCUUUGUGAUACCCCCUCUGGCCCCCUGCCUAGAGCAUCUGGCAGCCCCAGACCUGCUCUCAGGGAUUGCAGGCUGCCCCCUUCCUGCCAGACCGAAGGGACUGGGGGGAUUCCAGCAAGGGGGAGGGCAAUCCCUUCACUCCAGUUGCCAAACAGCACCCCCACCCCCUGGAUUUCCCUCCCUCCAUUCCUGAAGGUUCCAGCCUUCCCAAACCGCUUUUGAUCUUGAUUCCUCUUGGGUUGAAGCAGACCAAGUUCCCCCCAUGCACCCCAGUUUGGGGGGGGGUUGUAUUUUUUUUUUAACAAAACCCUCACUCCCCACCUGUUCCUCUCCCUUCCCAUGCUGCCAACUUCUAACCGCACAGUGACUCUGUGCUUGUCUGUUUAGUUCUGUGUACAAAUGGAAUGUUGUGGAGAUGACCCCUCCCCAUGUCGGCUGGUUCCUCUCCCUUUUCCCUUCGUCAUGGCCAUUCAUGGAAGCAGGUCCAGCAUGGGACCUUUGAUUAAAAA
Molecule: RNA transcript, 863 nt
Organism: Carlito syrichta (Philippine tarsier)
Lineage: Eukaryota; Metazoa; Chordata; Mammalia; Primates; Tarsiidae
Gene name: cofilin-1 pseudogene
Exons: 1
Source: RefSeq, a predicted model, not a curated record